UGAUAGUGAUGGCUGGAGUCUCAUAUUCAUAUUUGUCUGCACACCGUGUAAUUAACUUAAGUUACGGGGAUUUGUUUACUGUUCCGCGAAAAAAAAAAAAAAAAAAGCCAAGCAUCCCGCCAGGACUUAAUCCCUCAUCAGCAAACAAACAUCAGCCACACGCUUAACACUCCACCGAGCACAAGUUUUCUUUUCUCCGAUAGUAAAAGGUAAAACUUUCAUCUAACUCUCAGUAUGUGGCUGCCUCCCAAAGUUUGUUUUGAUCGUUAAGGCUGAGUGACGUAAUCAUACCGCGCCGCUCGCUGAUUGGUCAGUUUGUGAGUCAAGAUGGCGGGCGGAGGAGGGCUGCUUCAUUGAUUCGGCGUCGUUAUCGUGCGUCUGGCAGCCGGCAAGGGGAAACACGCAUGACAGCUUCAUGACGAAGAUGAAUGUGACGUCACAGCGAGGGGUUCUGCAAGGGAGGGGAAGAAAAUGCCCGAUUCGUGACAGGCGAGGGAACGCGACAUGUGAGAGGCGGGUGAGAGGGGAGUGAGGGGAGCGGCCAACCUCGAUAUCCUGAACGCCAAUCUAGGAAGACGAGGGAAGAGGAGAGAAGAGGAAGGAUAAUAGAGGUUGAGAGAAGGAUGAAGAGGCUACUACGGAUUAGUGGAAGCCUGUUAGGAGGUGUUAGGGAUGAGCAACAUAGGGAAAGAAAAAAAAAGUCACUGUUAUUUUCUUGCUUUGUUUUUCUUUAUAUUUUUUCAUCAGACAAUUUUAAUCAGAUAAUCUCUUUCUUAUUAAUGCUACGUUAGAUUAGGUCGGGUUAGGUUACGCAUGAAAUCAAUAUAUGAACUACACAGUGUUCAGUGCACGGUGAAUUAUUUAUUGCCCCAUCGAAAUUAAAACCAGUGUAACUAAAAUCUAAACAUUGGCGAUUUUUUUUUAUCACCAGAACUAAAUUUAAAUAGUUCUCCUUCCUAGAAAUUUCAAGGAAGAGGAGAAAAAAUUACUGCAUAUGGACGGGGAAAGACAUAACCAACCAAUACUUUGUUUUAUUUAUUGCUAAAACGUGAUCACCCACAUAACUUUCUUGACCAGUACAAGCUAACCAGGGCUACUUUCUUGACCAGUACAAGCUAACCAGGCCUCUCGAAAACGCCGAAGACCACGCAAGUUACGGACAAUUAACACUAUUUACACUACUCUUGUUAACUUUAGGCUUAUUGUUCAUUAAUGAGUUGCCUGGGACUUUUCAACUUACAGGCGUUUUUUCUGAUUUUUUUUUUUUCCCCUACAUGAGGUGUCGGAUAGAGGGAAGAGGAGAGAACCGUGCUAAGAAGAGAAAGGAGUCUGUAAGGAAGUCUAUAAGGAAGUCAGGGUCGUGUUCGAAAUAUAAAGUAUGCAUCAUAUACAUUAUAGACAUAUGAUGUGAGAGAGAGAGAGCGAGAGAGAGAGAGAGAGAGAGAGAGAGAGAGAGAGAGAGAGAGAGAGAGAGAGAGAGAGAGAGAGAGAGAGAGAGAGAGAGAGAGAGAGAGAGAGAGACGGAGAGGAGGUUUAAUCAACACAGGUACAAUUCAAAUUAACUGGGUAUAUUGAGAACUGUGUCAUUGCACAUAUUUAUUUUAUAUGACACACGAGGGAACUGACAAUGCAGGAAAAAAUAAACGGCAUCUAUGAAUGUAACAAUAUAAAAGAUGCCAUCUAAAUCCGUAAUUCUUUGUCUAUAAAGUUUAUUUUCAUGCAUCUUUUAUUAAAAAUACUGAUUUCCUUGGCUUCAUAAUUCAAUAAUUAUAUGUUUUCAUGUGUUAAAUUUAAAAACAUGUCUACAUUAUGAUGUACUGAUCCUGAUGAUUUAUGAUAAGGAAUAAAUUGGUUAUUUUAA
This is a long non-coding RNA of Scylla paramamosain (green mud crab), 1861 nucleotides long. RefSeq lists it as uncharacterized. The record is from RefSeq and is a predicted model, not a curated record. The transcript has 3 exons. NCBI's taxonomy places the organism in Eukaryota, Metazoa, Arthropoda, Malacostraca, Decapoda, Portunidae.